GCGUGGCCUAUCGAUCCU
Molecule: small nuclear RNA, 18 nt
Filed under: Arabidopsis thaliana (thale cress)
Lineage: Eukaryota; Viridiplantae; Streptophyta; Magnoliopsida; Brassicales; Brassicaceae
Description: snRNA_16483
Source: RNAcentral